Molecule: ribosomal RNA, 273 nt
Filed under: uncultured bacterium
Lineage: Bacteria
Description: partial 16S ribosomal RNA
Rfam family: Bacterial small subunit ribosomal RNA
Source: RNAcentral
CCGCCGGCGACCGGCGCACGGGUGAGUAACACGUAUGCAACCUGGCCGUGACAGAUGGAUAACCGGGAGAAAUCCCGCCUAAUACAACAUAAUGCCGGGAGGGGACAUCCCCUGCCGGCCAAAGGGGGCGACCCCGGUCACGGAUGGGCAUGCGGCGCAUUAGGUAGUUGGUGGGGCAACGGCCCACCAAGCCGACGAUGCGUAGGGGUUCUGAGAGGAAGGUCCCCCACAUUGGAACUGAGACACGGACCAGACUCCUACGGGAGGCAGCAG